CCUUUGCAUUUAAGUAGAAUGGGGAUGCGGUAUGCAUUUUGAUACUGGACAAAGUGGAAGGUCUGUAAAAGGAGCUUUUGUGGAGUUUGGGGACAUUCUUCUUUGAUGGACAAUCUAUGAUUAAUGGAGGGAAGUUAAAGGCAAUAACAGGUCUGUGAUGCCCUUAGAUGUUCUGGGCCGCACGCGCGCUACAAUGGUAAAGUCAGAGAGUAAAGACCUUUUUCGAAAGAAAUGGGGAAGCUUGUAAAAUUUAUUGUGAUGGGGAUUGAGGAUUGCAAUUAUUGGUCAUGAACGAGGAAUUCCUAGUAAGCAUUGGUCAUCAGGCAAUGUUGAUUAAGUCCCUGCCCUUUGUACACACCGCCCGUCGAUACUACCGAUUGAAUGGUUUAGUGAAAUCUCUGGAGAAACACGAUAGUGGAACAAAGGGGAUUAAACUUGAUGAUUUAGAGGAAGUAAAAGUCG
Molecule: ribosomal RNA, 462 nt
Filed under: Microsporidia sp. clade X
Lineage: Eukaryota; Fungi; Microsporidia
Description: SSU rRNA
Rfam family: Eukaryotic small subunit ribosomal RNA
Source: RNAcentral